GGGCGGUUAGCUCAGUGGUUAGAGCGCCUGCUUCACACGCAGGAGGUCACUGGUUCAAGUCCAGUACUGCCCACCA
This 76-nucleotide transfer RNA is filed under the name Dehalococcoidia bacterium. Its description in RNAcentral is "tRNA-Val". It matches the Rfam family "tRNA". From Rfam's summary of the family: Transfer RNA (tRNA) molecules are approximately 80 nucleotides in length. Their secondary structure includes four short double-helical elements and three loops (D, anti-codon, and T loops). Lineage: Bacteria; Bacillati; Chloroflexota; Dehalococcoidia. The record is from RNAcentral.